GAUGAACGCUGGCGGCGUGCUUAACACAUGCAAGUCGAACGGAAAGGCCCAAGCUUGCUUGGGUACUCGAGUGGCGAACGGGUGAGUAACACGUGGGUGAUCUGCCCUGCACUUCGGGAUAAGCCUGGGAAACUGGGUCUAAUACCGGAUAGGACGAUGGUUUGGAUGCCAUUGUGGAAAGUUUUUUCGGUGUGGGAUGAGCUCGCGGCCUAUCAGCUUGUUGGUGGGGUAAUGGCCUACCAAGGCGUCGACGGGUAGCCGGCCUGAGAGGGUGUACGGCCACAUUGGGACUGAGAUACGGCCCAGACUCCUACGGGAGGCAGCAGUGGGGAAUAUUGCACAAUGGGCGCAAGCCUGAUGCAGCGACGCCGUGUGGGGGAUGACGGCCUUCGGGUUGUAAACUCCUUUCGCUAGGGACGAAGCGUUUUUGUGACGGUACCUGGAGAAGAAGCACCGGCUAACUACGUG
This 468-nucleotide ribosomal RNA is filed under the name uncultured bacterium. RNAcentral's name for it is "partial 16S ribosomal RNA". It matches the Rfam family "Bacterial small subunit ribosomal RNA", at positions 28 to 507 of the family's 1533-position model. The record is from RNAcentral.